Molecule: ribosomal RNA, 2329 nt
Filed under: Pyropia haitanensis
Lineage: Eukaryota; Rhodophyta; Bangiophyceae; Bangiales; Bangiaceae
Description: bacterial LSU rRNA
Rfam family: Bacterial large subunit ribosomal RNA (bases 1-2092)
Source: RNAcentral
AAUCAUCUUAGUAACAUAAUAAAAAAUCAAACGAGAACUUGUAAGUAACGGUGAGUGAACACAAGCUUAGCAAAAUGUUGAAAUCCAGAGAAGGUGUCUCAAGUCCUUUACAGCAUUAAUAAGAAUACAAAGUAGUAUGAUUAACUUUUGUACGAAAAUAGGAGUACCAUCUUCUAAGCUAAAAAAUUUUUCUAAUCGAUAGUGAACGAGUACCGUGAGGGAAAGAUUUAAAUUUGUUAAUUUAUAUUUAUUUGAAGUUGAUGAAUGCAACUACAAAGUGCCUUUUGCAUAAUGAGUCAGUAAGUUAAUAUAUGUAGCAAGCUUGAAAAUAUUUAGGCAUUCUAAGUUACAUGCAUUAGACCCGAAGCCAAGUGAUCUAUUCUUAAACAAGUUGAAGAUGUUUUAAAAUGCAUUGGAGGGCUGAACCCACGUCUGUUGAAAAAUACGGGGACGAUUUAAGAAUAGGGGUGAAAGUCCAAUCAAACUUGGUGAUAGCUGGUUUUCCGCGAAAACUAUCAAAGUAGUACGUUGCUUUUCAAAAAUGUGGGUAGAGCUACUUAUUAAACUUAGAUUUUGCUAAGUUUUAUUAAACUCCAAAUUAUAUUUUUAUUUAGCAGCAGACAGUCAUUAGGCGAUAAGGUUCAAUGUCAAAAGGGAAACAACCCUAAUCGAUGGUUAAGAUCUUAAAAUUAUGAAUUAGUGAAAAAAUGAAAAGUAAUUCGAAUAAACAGAGUAGGCUUAGAAGCAGCCAUCUAUUGGAGAAAGCGUUUUAGCUCAUUAUUUUUACUUAUUUUACUCAUUUAAAAUGUAAGGAGACUUAAAUUCAUAUAUCGAAGCUUCGAAUUAAGUUUAAUUUUUCUUAAUGGUAGCGGAACGUCCUGUAGUCUUUUCUGUUAAUGUUAAAUUGCAUAUUAAAAAUCAGGAGUGCUAAUGCUGACAUGAGUAGCGUCAACCAUGUUGAAAAUAAAUCAUGGUCGUCUAUUGCUCAAGGGUUUCCAGUAAAUUUUAAGUAACUGGGUUUAGUCGGCCCUUAAAAAAAAAGUGAAAACUGUACUUGAUAGGAAAAUUAUUCCGCAUGUUUGCAAAAUAUUUUUGUGUAUCAGGAAAAUUUGCAUGAAGUUUGACCGUACUUAGAACCGACACAGGUGAGCUUAUUGAGAAGAUAAAGACGAAUGAGAUAAUUAUACUUAAGGAACUCGGCAAAUUUGCUCCGUACGUUCGCAACAAGGAGUACCUUAAAGGAUUCAAAAAUUAGGGGUAGCGACUGUUUAACAAAAACUCAAAACUUUGCAAAUUCGAAAGAAGACGUAUAAGGUUUGACGCCUGCCCAGUGCUUGAAAGCGAAAAAUACACGUUAACGCUUGUAUCAUAAACUCAAGUAAACGGCGGUCUUAACUAUAAGGAUCCUCAGGUAGCGAAAUUCCUUGGCGGGUAAAUUCCGUCCUGCAUGAAUGGCGUCACGACUACCCCACUGUCUCUAGUAUAAACUCAGCGAAAUUACAUUGUCUGUGAAAAUGCAGACAUCCUACAACAAGACGGAAAGACCCUAUGAUUCUUAACUAUAAUUUUACGUCGCAAUAAUUUUGUGUACAGUACAGUAAAAGUAGGAGUAUACUUAUACAAUUUUGAAAAACUACUCUGUACAUAAGAAAUUGCUUACUGAAGAGAAAAUAUGUAAAAGUGGUAGUUUACUUGGGACGAGGACCUCCUAAACUGUAACGGAGGUGCACAAAAGUAAAUUUUAAUUAGUUUUUUGUAUUAAUAAAAUAUGUAAUGGUAAAAAUUUGCUUGACGGUAAGAGUUACAACUCAAACCGGGACGAAAGUCGGUCAUAAUGAUCCGGCAGUAAUGUAUGGAAAUACUGUCGCUUAUCGGAAAAAAGAAACUCUAGGGAUAACAGAUUUAUCAUGGCUGAGAGUUCUUAUCGACGCCAUGGUUUGAUACCUCGAUGUCGGCUCAUCUUUUCCUGGAGCUGUAACAGGUUCCAAGGGUAUGGUUGUUCGCCAAAUAAUAAGAUACGUGAGCUGGGUUCAGAACGUCGUGAGACAGUUCGGUCCCUAUCUGUUGUGGGUAAGAAAAUGUACUUCUCGUAAAUAGCUAAUCUCCACUUUAGGGAUUAAACUAAUAUUACAGGUAGGAAGCUAGUUCAUACAGAUCUAGUGGGCCUAUGCAUUACUCCUAAUGCUGAUCAAUGAGCUGUGUUACAAGCAGUGAACCCUAUGCAACGUGAAAAUAGUCAUUCACGGAGUAUAAGCAGGGCAUAAAUUUAAGUGGAUGUUACUUAUAAACAUUUUAACUCGAAGAGAAUAUAUAAAUCAGUAAAUCUGUC